UCCACGGUCGACAGGCUGAUGUCACAUAACAGUUUUUCUGUAAGGGAUAAUGUAUAGUCCGCCGGUCACGGUUACUUGCCAAAACGAUAAAAGACUGAUGGAGAUCAUUUCCAAACACUGUUAAUGACUUAAGAAUAUAAUAAUCAAGUACCUUGUAUUAUUAAUUACCUUAUAUGAAUCAUUAUGUAAGCAGGAACAUGGCUUUUCUGUGUUUCUGCGUGUGUGUAACUUAAAAUAUUAGGUGCCACUUAGUCUGCAUAUCUACAAGAGCAUGUUUAGACCAGAGGUGAUAAGCUUCUUCCGACCUUGUAAAACUUCCAUCCUUGCCUCGGACGUCAGAGAUCCACCACGUGGUUAUCCCUGCUGAAAACUAAACUUCUGUCUAUAUAAACCUUGUGCAAUGUGUUUAUCAUUGCUUCACUUUCAGCCUUGUGCUGGGAGUGAGCCCAAUUGCAAUUGUUGUUUGUCUAAUAAAUAUACUUAUGCAGCUCCGGAGUCCUGAGGUAACUAGGCUGAAUUUUCACCUAACAUAUUUGGGGGCUCAUGACCGGGAUUCCAACAACCUCAUCGACUCUACGCUGGGCUAAUCAUCAGGACCUAAACCGUACGAAGGAGUACGAGACUCCGUUUUUCUAAAGACCUCCAACUUGAAUUGGAAGGAGGCCAGGGCCUGCCAGCGAGGAGAGCCGAGAGUGAAGGAAUUUAAUUGAACUAUAGGGGGUGGACUCUGAGCUGUUUGUGAGUAUAUUGUUGGUUUGUUGUGCCUGCACGCUAGUAUAGUUUUUCUUGGGGAGACGAACUUUUUGCAUGUUUUCUGCGGGGUGUAAAGGGGAACAAAGGUUCAAGGGAAGACUUUUUCCUGGUUGCCUCGUGUGUUGAACGAAUUGCUAGAGUUAGAGAGACUCCUGUCUGUAGUUGUCAUGUUCUUGGAGCGCCCAAGGCUAAAUGUUGUAUAUUCCUGUUCACCUUCCUGUCCCCUGGAAAGGAAAGGUAUAGAAGGAAGGGUACUGUCAUGGCAAAAAGUGACCGGGUGCCAAAAAGAGCCCGGGUGAUGUAAUAUUGGCUUUGAACGACUCUUGAGUGACAGUUGCUAUACCAACGUUAGCAUUACGUCACCCGGGCUCUUUUUGGAAGUCAGACUACCUCAAUAACGUGAUUUACCCCAGAGCAUCUCGCAUUAUACUUCGCUACCUGAGACUAGCUUGCCUGUAUUUUACCUGCAAUAAACCAAGCAAAACAACCAUGUGCUUGAUGUUUGACUGUGUUAGGAAAGUUGUUGACUCACAAGUUUGUUAUAGUGUCAAAGUAAGUACAUUUCAACCGGUUUCGCCGCUAGCAUCUCGUUAGCGAUUAGCAAUUCCUCUUCUAGCUGGGGCACAUUAUUUUGCUUAGUGUAUAGCUAGCAAGCUAGUAUGAAGUCUCCCAAGUCUUUCUAAAUAGGCCUAUAUCAACAAAUAAUGGUAGAUCUUAAAUUAUUUAAGAUGUUAGCAAAUGAACUGGCUGGCUUGCUAAAAAGGCAGAUGAACAAGCACCGUAUAGUAUUUAAGAUGUUAGAAAAUGAACUUGCUGGCUUGCUUAAAAGAUAAAUGAACAAGCACCAUAUAUUAUUUAAGAUGUUAUUAAAUUAACUGGCUAGCUUGCUUAAAAGGUAUAUGAACAAGCACCGUACCGUAUAGUAUUUAAGAUGUGAGCAAAUUAACUGGCUGGCCUGCUAAAAAGGUAGAUGGGGGCGGCAGUGGUACAGGAGGUAAAGAAGUCGUUUAGUAAUCAGAAGGUUGCUAGUUCGAUUCCCUGUCGAAGUAUCCUUGAGCAAGGCACUGAACCCCUAAUUGCUCCUGAUGUGCAGUGUGCCAUCAGUGUAAAUGUAAAAUGUGUAUACAUUGUAAGUUGCUUUGGAUAAAAGCGUCUGCUAAAUGUAAAUGUAAAUGUAGAUGAACAAGCAACGUAUAUUAUUUAAGAUGUUAGCAAAUUAACUGGCUGGCUUGCUAAAAAGGUAGAUAAACAAGCACCGUAUAUCAGUAUAUUUUCUCCUUUUUAUAAAAACGAAUUUCUACUCUAAACAAUUUCAAUUGAAAUGCAAAUGAUGAUGUCAAUGGCUAAAAUGGAACACUUUAUUUACCGGGUAAAAAUUAGUUUAGCCACAAUAUAUAGCGAUUCAAAAAGUAGUAUUGACUGCAAAUGUUGAUGUACAGGAUACCGGCAGGUGUAGCUAAAACGGAAUACUUAGUAGUUUUAGGCACAAUAUUAAGUGACUAACAAGUAGCUAAUGGCUUUCGAACGACUCUUGAGACUGACCAAAAAGUGCCCGGGUUACGUAGUGUUAGUGGUAUAGCAACUGUCACUCAAGAGUCGUUUGAAAGCCAAUAUUACAUCACCCGGGCUCUUUUUGGCACCCGGUCACUUUUUGCCAUGACAGUACCGUUCGUUUUUGGAACGCUAAAUGUUAUAAGCAAAGAAAGCCUGUUGCCAAAAAAGAGGGUUAGCGCGCGCUAAAAGUAUAAGCACUGUUCACCUUCCUGUCGCCUGAAGGUAGAGACGGAAGGGUACCGUUCGUUUAGGGAACGCUAAAGGUUAUAUGCGAGAGCGCUGUUCACCUUAAAAGGAAGGUGUCAUCUGAAGUUGAAACUCUAUAGGCCUAUUUCUCCGGAUAUUUCUGUAUAUAUUCCUGUUCGCCUUGUAUGAAGGGAACAAACUUUUCAAUUUCUAUUUUCCUGUGGGGUCCCCUGGUAGGCCUCUGGGUGCAUUAGCAAAAAGGCUAUAGGAAAAGGGGUAUAGUCCGCUAGGAAUAGAUUAUUCCUGAGGGAGACGAGUCUCCUUAAGAGAUAAAGAAAAAAGAGUUAGAGAGACUCCUGUGUGUUAUUUUUCUGUGGGGUUGAGACAAACUUUUUACAAUGGGUAAAACACAGAUAAUUAUAGUCAUAAUUUAUGUAAUUAAAGGACUGAUUUCGCAUUACUAAGAUGCCUUGACCCGGAACCAGUAGGGGACUGAUCACCCCAGGGAAAUUCCCUGGCCUCAACCUCCUCACAAAACGAGUGAGAUGGAGGACCUCUGGUCGGGCUUGGGUUGACUCAGCAUUGCGAUCUCAAGAACAAACUAUGAGAGUCUGAAAAUAGAAACAUAACUAACCCUAGUGUGAAGAAUAAGAUAAAGGUAAUUUAAAAGGUUUCAAGAUCAGCUAGAGGUAUUAAGAGAAAUACAUAAAAUAACUUACAAAUGGGAAAAAGUGCGUCAAAAUCAGAAGACGAACAUGAUAAUGGCAAUGAGAGGUGGUUUAAAAUGUCUACAACAAGAAGAAAAUUGUAAACACAGAUUUGAAAAUGUUUUUGCAUUAUUGGUUGCGCCAAACAGAGCAAAGCUUACGUUAAUGGCGGCAAGAAAGCCAAUGAUUUUUGUUUUGUUUUGUUUUGUUUUGUGUGACUUUGGUGCCUGCUGAGCAGUAAUCAGAGAAUUAGAUGCCCAGAACAGUAAGGUUUUAAGAAGAAAGAUACAUCUAAAAGCAGAGUCUGAAACAGGAGAGAUAUUUAAAAUACAGAUUAUGUUUCAAAAACAUGCCCUACAAACUUAUUAGGAAGAGAUGUGAUGUGGGUUGGGCAUUGGAAUUGUUCCAACAGUACAUGGGUUUUAGAAUAAAUUAAACAAUGGUGUCCCAAAAUAUUAUUAUGUAUAGAAUAUACACUGUUUAGUCCCAAAAAAGAUUUAAAGAGAAAUGUAAGCCUGUCACACUAACUACAUUAACCUAGACUGAUGCAUUGGACUAACACAGGCUGGGUGGGGGCUGAGUGCUGUUCCACCAGAUAAGAAGACCUGUAAACAACAUACCCUGGCGUUGUUAACAUUUUUAGCAGAAACAAGGCCACAAAAUUAGCAACUGUGGUCCACUAAAGUAAAGCUAUCUUUAAAAAAAAGCACCUCAAAGAAAUAACAAAGAAAUAAAUAAUGUCUUAGCACAUCAAUGACACGACAAGCCAUUCGUACAAGCAAUGUAGACUGUUAAAAAGGUUAUAUGACAUCUGUGUUAAUGCAUAAGUGGGGACUUAAAGUUGAGACCAGUGGCAUACUAUUCCACACGGCUAGAUCCAGUAGCCCAAGCAAUGUCUGAAUGUUUACAAGCAGUAGUGGCUGCAGCCUUGGCGGUGCAGGCCUCUGCUCCUAUUGUACUAAACAGACACUUACACUGAAAGUUCCACAUGCUUACUUUUUUUUUUUUUUUUGCUCUCGCAGCCUCAUAUCAAUAUUGACAAUAUUGCGCUUUGCGCACACAUGCAAAAGACCCGGUUUCAUUGGAAAACCACAAAGCAGACAAGGCCUGCAACAACCAUCUGACACACACACUUGCAAAAGACCCGGUUUCAUUGGAAAACAACAAAGCAGACAAGGCCACUAACCAGGCCGCACUGCAACAACCAUCUGACACACACACAUGCAAAAGACCCGGUUUCAUUGGAAAACCACAAAGCAGACAAGGCCACUAACCAGGCCGCACUACAACAACUAUCUGACACGUACACAAUUGAAGAAUUAGAUCUCACAAUACUAAAAGAUAUGCUGCAAUAUUGAGCCAUGGUGAAAACAUGCCUCAAUAAGUGGGGAUAGUAAGCAUAUAUUUUACUUCUUAUUUAUAUUUUAUGAGAAAGAUGUUUAAUCAUUCAUUAUUGAUUUUAUGAAAUCCAAACUAUUAAAAGCAAAUUGAGAAUCUAAGAGUGAAAUUAAGCAUGCAUGUUGUUAUCACUGUUUGAAAUGAUGUAUGGAAGAAUCUACACUGCCUAAACUCUCAAACCAUUUGCUGAAACAGACAAAGAGAUUGAUAUACAUUUGCAGAAUACAGUAUAUGGCAAAAAUGUGAAUUAGCAAAAUGCUCUCAGAACUCUCUACUUCACAGGAACCUGUGAGGCUGAAACCAAGGUUGGGCCAGGAGAUUGGGUCCUAAUCAACAGCCUCAAAAGAAAACACUGCCACUCGCCCAAGUGGGACAGACCAUACCAAGUGCUACUGUCAACAUCUACCACAGUCAAAAUAGCGGAGAGAGCCACCUGGAUACAUCUAACACAGGGGUUUUCAACCGGGGGUCCGCGGCCGCCUGGUGGUCCGCGACGGCAUUGCAGGGGGUCCGCGACAUGAGCCUAUGUUGAUCAGUUCACCAUUUACUUUUUUUAUUUUUAUAAAUUCGCUUUGAUAUUUCAACACAUUUCCAGAUUACUCUUGAAUAUCGUGAAAAAUAUGUAAAAUAAGAAAAAUAUGUCUAAAGGAGAUUCACGCUGACAGAAUGUAGGGGCACUGCACCUAUUCAGUCUAUGGUAGCCUGUGCUUUGCUAAUGUUAAUGUAGAAUGUUUUGGGAAUCACUGGUACAUCAGUGGGCCGCGGAUUACUUUCUUGUCAGAAUGGUGGUCCCUGGGACAAAACCAGUUGAAAACCCCUGAUCUAACACAUUGUAAACGAGUAAGCCUGCCUUAGAAAGAGACAGAGAAUAGGAGCUGUUUUCCUCUACAGUUUUCCAAAUUCGGCCCACUGUGACAGAAGUCCAGCUACAAAGGGGAUUCUUUGCCUUUGGCAAUUUUUCGUCUCAAACCUGGUGAAGAAAACAACACUGUCCAGUGGGGUGGAGGAGCCUAGUAGAGACUGGGAGGGCGGGGCGGUUCUAUCUCUGUGAAGUCAUGGGGAGUCAAGGGAAAAAUGAAACAAUGUGUGGAACUUUUGAUAAUAACUGCACUACUCUACAUUUUGGUACUGUUAACUUAUUGAUCACAAUAGGCACUGGUCUUGGUCAAAUGUCCACGAUGUGGCCUACCUAAAGAUCAUCCAUGGUGGAAAUGGGUGAACCAGACUGCCCAAACACACUUUCCACGAAGAGACUGUUUACAUUUUCCUGGCCAGUAAUAUUCAACAGCCGAUGUGAUCUGCAGAAUGCCUGAUGGGGAACAGGGCCUUCAAGGACAAAGCAAAGAAACCUUGUUUGAAUGUUAUCUGAAGCCUAGGCGAGCUAAUGACACACACACGACACCCACUAUGUUGGCCUACAAAUGCAAAGUAUACAAAUGUAUGAUGAGAAAUAUGAUGAUUGACUUAUGAUGAUAUGGAGUGAUGCUCAGUAAUGACCUCUGUUCGGAACAUCCAUGUGAUGAAGCUCAGAGUGAUGAUUUUGAGGUUAUCCAUUGAAAUUGAUAAUUGACGAAUUAAGAAAGAUGAUUUGUGAUAUUGAUUUUGAAUUAUCCAUUGAAACUGAUAAAACGAUAAAAGACUGAUGGAGAUAAUUUCCAAACACUGUUAAUGACUUAAGAAUAUAAUAAUCAAGUACCUUGUAUUAUUAAUUACCUUAUAUGAAUCCUGUACUUAUGUAAGUAGGAACAUGGCUUUUCUGUGUUUCUGCGUGUGUGCAGCUUAAAAUAUUAGGUGCCACUUAGUCUGCAUAUCUACAAGAGCAUGUUUAGACCAGAGGUGAUACGCUUCUUCCGACCUUGCAAAACUUCCAUCCUUGCCUCGGACGUCAGAGAUCCACCACGUGGUUAUCCCUGCUGAAAACUAAACUUCUGUCUAAAUAAACCUUGUGCGAUGUGUUUAUCCUUGCUUCACUAGCCUUGUGCUGGGAGUGAGCCCAAUUGCAAUUGUUGUUUGUCUAAUAAAUAUACUUAUAUGCAGCUCCGGAGUCCUGAGGUAACUAGGCUGAAUUUUCACCUAACAAAGACAUUCCUGGAAAACACCCGAUUUUCAUUAAACUCGGUGCAAAGGUGUAGCAUGGGCAAGGGAACAACCCGUUACAUUUGGGAGCGGAUCAUCUGACUCACAGGGCGCCCCCACCAGUGGUUAACACGUUUAGUUUCCCCUACCUUGCGAGAUACCGCAUACGGAGGUGUGCGCUCUACUGAAUGCCAAUCUAGUUGGUAAAACGGUCCUGUUAAAGAAUCAACCUUCAGAGGUUAAGACACAUGGACACUUGCUAAAUACAUAACUUGCUGAAAACCAUAGAGUUGUUUCAUUAUCACGUCUAUCACACAGGCUUAAUCUUUCCACUGCAAGCAUGUAGAAACACAUCGCUAUCAAAAUGAAAUUCACAUCGUACAUGUGCGUUGGAAUUAUUAAUUUCGCACUAUUGCACAUUGUUUUUUAUAGGUGAAAUCCAAAUCCCACACGUUGUGAAAGACAAUGUCAUAAAGAGAGCGUAAACAGGCGAAAGUAAAAGCAAUACAAAUAGAACUAGAAGUAUCAUGUGUUAUUUAUUACAAUAAAAAACACUGUUCUCAACACACAGAAAAACAACAUAUAUACAGAACACUUGCCUACACUUUCAAUUCUUUCAAAAGACAUCUUUAACUGCUCCACACGGCAAAGAUUCACACUUACAAAUUCAAGAGAACAUGGUUCAUGCUACACGUUUCAAAAUUCAAUAGAAUAUGACUGUAGAACUACAUCUAUGAUAACACAUCAGUCCACCAGUCAACAUGCUAAGCAAACACUUUCAAACCUCACACACUUGUGUAUCAAUGUUACCAUUUUCACACUGGGUACAAAACUACAAAAAAGAUUUAUGAAGUAGGCUAUUUUCUUUGUUUCUUUGCAUAUUGUUUAUAUAUUUUGUAUUGUACAUUAAUGUCCCUCUUAAAUUCAAGAAUGUCCUUUGGCGUCUCUGGACAUCAGCAAUGACAAGAUUAGUCUGGGCUCAUGGCUUGUAUAUAUCCACUUCACUCACACGCUCAACACUGACCUCCUCAGCAGGUUUUUUCGACAUUGUCUGUGUAAAUGCAAAAAAAAAACAUUUUCUCAUUUCGUUUGGAUGGCUUAUUUUGUGCAUCAGCUGGACUCUUAAUGGUGCAGAAAAUGAUGUCAAUUGUCAGAGGCAGUUUUACAACACAAUCUUUCACAGUGCAUAACACAUCUUUACCUGGAAGCCAUCAUCUUGCUCCAGAAGAGCUUUAAUUCGUAUGUGAGGUCUUGGAAUUGGUGGGAACAGAAUCCUAAACAAAUAUGAUUUCAUUAAGUAGGGCACUCCAAACAAAAGCACCACCAGAUAUCUCA
This is a long non-coding RNA of Clupea harengus (Atlantic herring), 8009 nucleotides long. The record is from Ensembl. Lineage: Eukaryota; Metazoa; Chordata; Actinopteri; Clupeiformes; Clupeidae.